UGCACCUGGACACCGCUUUCUUUAGAAUGUGGUGUGAACCCUUGAAACAGGGGCUGUGAUCUUUCCUGUUUUUGGGGCAUCCUGACCACACUUAAGUGCUGGCAGCUGUAAGGGCAGCAUUGAUCUCUGGAGACUGUCUCCUGUGGAGCAUGGCCCAAUGCGCUACACAGCUGGUGAUAGAGUGAGGUGCAUUGACCAGGACCUGAAGAACAGUCCCAGAUGGCAGUGGCCAUUUGCUUCAUCCUCAUUGAGCAUAAUGUGGUCUGCACCACUCGAGCAUAGGGAUAACAGAAAGCCAAGGAUUGUCCUCUUCUGGACCGCUGUACUCAGCAUCACCCCAGCGUGAUGAAGUGAAGCCCCUGGUCUGCUGAACAGUGGGACUGGCCCAGAGAGGCUCUGAUGGAUGUGGAUUAUCCCAGCCGGAGUACCUGGGACUUCACCUGACUGCCUCGACUUCUCAAAUACCACUGAGAGUGGCUCGGUGACUGCAGCGGUGAAUUCCCUCAGGGCUCUGGGACUCAUCUCAUCAGGACCCAAAGACUCCUGGAUGUCAGGUUCUCAGGUGGUCCAGAUCCUGAUCUCCCAUCACAGUGUGGGAUAGGGAGGGGUCUGUGGGACCGGCAUUGCUUCCUCAAUCCCCUUCCCUCAAAGAAAAGAAAAUCCCUCAAAGAAAAGAGACGAAAAGAGACGAAAAGAAAAGAGACGAAAAGAGACGAAAAGAGACGAAAAGAAAAGAAAAGAAAAGGAAGGAGACGAGACGAGACGAAAAGAGACGAGACGAGACGAAAAGAGACGAGACGAGACGAAAAGAGACGAGACGAGACGAAAAGAGACGAGACGAGACGAAAAGAGAUGAGACGAGACGAAAAGAGACGAGACGAGACGAAAAGAGACGAGACGAGACGAAAAGAGACGAGACGAGACGAAAAGAGACGAGACGAGACGAAAAGAGACGAGACGAGACGAAAAGAGACGAGACGAGACGAAAAGAGACGAAAAGAAAAGAAAAGAAACGAGACGAGACGAGACGAAAAGAAAAGAAAAGAGACGAAAAGAGACGAAAAGAAAAGAGAUGAAAUGAGACGAGACGAGACGAGACGAAAAGAAAAGAAAAGAAAAGAGACGAAAAGAGACGAAAAGAAAAGAAAAGAAAAGGAAGGAGACGAAAAGAGAUGAAAAGAAAAGAGACGAGACGAGACGAAAAGAGACGAGACGAAAAGAGACGAGACGAAAAGAGACGAGACGAAAAGAGACGAGACGAAAAGAGACGAGACGAAAAGAGACGAGACGAAAAGAGACGAGACGAGACGAAAAGAGACGAGACGAGACGAAAAGAGACGAAAAGAAAAGAAAAGAAACGAGACGAGACGAAAAGAAAAGAAAAGAGACGAAAAGAGACGAAAAGAAAAGAGACGAAACGAGACGAAAAGAGACGAGACGAAAAGAGACGAAAAGAAAAGAGACGAAAUGAGACGAGACGAAAAGAAAAGAGACGAAAAGAGAUGAAAAGAGACGAAAAGAGACGAGACGAGACGAAAAGAGACGAGACGAGACGAAAAGAAAAGAAAAGAGACGAAAAGAGACGAGACGAAAAGAAAAGAGACGAAACGAGACGAGACGAGACGAAAAGAAAAGAAAAGAAAGGAGACGAAAAGAGACGAAAAGAGACGAAAAGAAAAGAGACGAAACGAGACGAAAUGAGACGAGACGAGACGAGACGAAAAGAAAAGAAAAGAAAAGAGACGAAAAGGGACGAAUAGAGACGAGACGAGACGAAAAGAGACGGAAAGAGACGGAAAGAAAAGAGACGAGACAAGACGAGACGAAAAGAAAAGAGACGAGA
Molecule: RNA transcript, 1843 nt
Organism: Lagopus muta (rock ptarmigan)
Lineage: Eukaryota; Metazoa; Chordata; Aves; Galliformes; Phasianidae
Exons: 5
Source: RefSeq, a predicted model, not a curated record